Molecule: ribosomal RNA, 293 nt
Filed under: uncultured bacterium
Lineage: Bacteria
Description: partial 16S ribosomal RNA
Rfam family: Archaeal small subunit ribosomal RNA
Source: RNAcentral
GUGCCAGCCGCCGCGGUAAUACCGGCAGCCCGAGUGAUGGCCGAUCUUAUUGGGCCUAAAGCGUCCGUAGCCGGCCGGGCAAGUCCGUCGGGAAAUCCACCCGCUUAACGGGUGGGCGUCCGGCGGAAACUGCUCGGCUUGGGACCGGAAGGCUCGAAGGGUACGUUCGGGGUAGGAGUGAAAUCCCAUAAUCCCGCACGGACCACCGAUGGCGAAAGCACUUCGAGAAAACGGAUCCGACAGUGAGGGACGAAAGCCAGGGUCUCCAACCGGAUUAGAUACCCGAGUAGUCC